AAAACGACUCUCGGCAACGGAUAUCUUGGCUCUCGCAUCGAUGAAGAACGUAGCGAAAUGCGAUACUUGGUGUGAAUUGCAGAAUCCCGUGAACCAUCGAGUCUUUGAACGCAAGUUGCGCCCUAAGCCUUCUGGCCGAGUGCACGUCUGCCUGGGUGUCACAAA
This 165-nucleotide ribosomal RNA is filed under the name Alyssum repens. RNAcentral describes it as "5.8S ribosomal RNA". It matches the Rfam family "5.8S ribosomal RNA". From Rfam's summary of the family: 5.8S ribosomal RNA (5.8S rRNA) is a component of the large subunit of the eukaryotic ribosome. It is transcribed by RNA polymerase I as part of the 45S precursor that also contains 18S and 28S rRNA. Lineage: Eukaryota; Viridiplantae; Streptophyta; Magnoliopsida; Brassicales; Brassicaceae. The record is from RNAcentral.